UUUUUUUUGGUGUUUUUUCCCUCCCCCUUUCUUGCUCUCCUCUUUUGAACAGGCAAACCUUAUUCCUGCCAUUGCUCAGGAGCACUCCCCGCGCCCCGGGGCUGUGCUGGGAAGCCGGCAGUGCUCCCGAGGAGGCGUUGAUGAAGCAACUCCUGCCUAAUUGCUCCGCUGCCUGUAUCUCGAGGUGCAGCUUGGCCCUGCCGGUGAAACAAACGAGACUUGGAUUCUCCUGCUUUGUUUUGAUUAUUUUUUGUUUGUUUCUUUUUUCCUACACCUGUAGGAAUUGACUUUUUAGCCCAGUUGUGUUGUUCUUGUGUUAGUUUCUUGUCAGUUUCUUUCUGUUUUGCUAGGCAGUUGGUACACAAAAGUCUAAGGAGCUUGCAGGAGCCAUCAAAGUUGCUGAUGUGUCCCUGCACAUCUGGAGCACCUUGGUCCCUCUGCACAAAGGGGUUUUGACCCAUGCGAAAAAGGAAGGUCUCACAUAGAAGUCACAAGUGUUCUUGGACACAUUUCAGGAUUUCUUUGCUUCCAUGAACUUAUUUACCUGUAGAGUUUGUGCUUAUACAUUACAGGAAUGAUUUCUGGGGCAAGAUCUGAGAGUGGGGAGUGCCUGGGAGCUGGGUGAUACAGCAGCUGCUGGUUCACCAAGUAAUUGGAGAAAUGGGAUAUUAGGAAAAUAUGGGACCAUGCAGAGCUGGAGAAGAGGAUGCAGCAUUUCAUCUCUGUGUCAGAGGAGCAGCGAGUAUUGUGGAAAAGGGAUGUCUAUUCCUUUGUACAAAUGAAAUCAAAGGUGAACCUGGUGGAUUCAAAGCGCAGAAAGUUAGGUGCUUUUCAGUGUUGAGCCAUCUGCUUCAUGAAGGAAUGGAACAAAGGAUCCCAGCAUGAGGUCGCUUUAUCCCACUUCAACUGGUGCUUGCACUUGGGCUUCAACAAGUACAGCUAUGCUGAUUUAAAAAAGUAAUACUAGUAAUAAAUAGACUCUAAAUAUUGGUAACA
This is a long non-coding RNA of Cyanistes caeruleus (blue tit), 996 nucleotides long. NCBI's taxonomy places the organism in Eukaryota, Metazoa, Chordata, Aves, Passeriformes, Paridae. The record is from Ensembl.